GCCCGCCCGCCUCCCCCCAGGAGCGGCCCCAGGAGCGGCCCCGUCGCAGACAGGCGGGCGUUCGGCAGCCCCGCGGCGGGGGCGGAGCCUGGCCGAUCGCCGCGGCACACAGAGAGGCGGAGGGUGCGGAGCUCAGCACAGACUGCGGAAUGCUUUAUGGGAGCGGGGUACAGAGCUCUGGAAAGGGGCUCCCCGGAGGAGGGGAAAAACCCUCAAAACAACCGAGAGAAAAGAAAAACAGCGCCCAGGCCUCGAGCUCCCGGAGCAGAGGUGGGAUCACGCCCCAACAUCGGCGCCCCCGUCCGGCCGCGCCCCCUCCGCCGGACAUGCGGCACACGGUGCACGCGCAGCGCGGACACGGACAUGCGUGCGAACAGCGAAAUCCGCGGGGACAUCCACCGGGACACGUGGGGACAGUGACAACCACCAGGACAGACGUGGCGCGGGUAGACAUGGACAGAAAACCCCUCAGCCAUGACCUGGCUUUCUCCUUGUCCAUUCGGGAAGCGCUGGAGCAGUGGCUGGGAAUGAGAAGGGGAAUGCGGGGGGCGAUGGAGCGCUGCAAACGCCUCUGCCUGCUUCGGACCAAGGCCUGACCAUCCCAGCCCAUCCAGACCUGCUCCAAAGGGUCCAGCAUUACAGAACUGCACAAGGAUCAUCUCAAAAAGGGAAGACAAUUCUUUGAAUUGAAUGAACGUGCUGCAGGAGCUCUGGGUUCACCCCCUCUCUCAGGACCCAAGCACAGCUCCAGCUCACAAAGCUCAUUCUCUGGGACACUCCCUGCACACACACCAAGCAGCUUUAGAGAUCCCCCUAGAAAUGAGGGGAAAGAAUAAAAUCUCCACCAACAAUGCUUGAA
This is a long non-coding RNA of Haemorhous mexicanus (house finch), 859 nucleotides long. RefSeq lists it as uncharacterized. The transcript is spliced from 2 exons. The record is from RefSeq and is a predicted model, not a curated record. NCBI's taxonomy places the organism in Eukaryota, Metazoa, Chordata, Aves, Passeriformes, Fringillidae.